This 216-nucleotide ribosomal RNA is filed under the name Glomeromycotina sp. RNAcentral describes it as "partial small subunit ribosomal RNA". The stretch from base 40 to 216 matches the Rfam family "Eukaryotic small subunit ribosomal RNA", at positions 686 to 864 of the family's 1831-position model. The record is from RNAcentral. Lineage: Eukaryota; Fungi; Glomeromycota.
GGGUCAGUAGGUUGGUCGUGCCACCGGUACGUACUGGUCUCACUGAUUCCUCCUUCCUGAAGAACCGUAAUGCCAUUAAUUUGGUGUUGCGGGGAAACAGGACUGUUACUUUGAAUAAAUUAGAGUGUUUAAAGCAAGCUAACGCUUGAAUACAUUAGCAUGGAAUAAUGAAAUAGGACGAUCGAUCCUAUUUUGUUGGCUUCUAGGAUUGACGUA